RNAcentral lists this transfer RNA (68 nucleotides) under Marmota monax (woodchuck). RNAcentral describes it as "tRNA.Ala". Lineage: Eukaryota; Metazoa; Chordata; Mammalia; Rodentia; Sciuridae. The record is from RNAcentral.
GGAUAUAGUUCAGUAGGUAGAGUGUUUGCCUUGCGUGCACAAGGCCCUGGGUUGGAUUCCCAUCACCA